This 305-nucleotide ribosomal RNA is filed under the name uncultured bacterium. Its description in RNAcentral is "bacterial SSU rRNA". It matches the Rfam family "Bacterial small subunit ribosomal RNA", at positions 338 to 639 of the family's 1533-position model. The record is from RNAcentral.
CCUACGGGCAGCAGUAGGGAAUUUUCGUCAAUGGGCGCAAGCCUGAACGAGCAAUGCCGCGUGAACGAGGAAGGUCUUCGGAUCGUAAAGUUCUGUUGAAGGGGAAAAAGAGCGGAGAGAGGAAAUGGUCUCCGAUUGAUAUUACCCUUCGAGGAAGUCACGGCUAACUACGUGCCAGCAGCCGCGGUAAUACGGAGGAUGCGAGCGUUAUCCGGAUUUAUUGGGUUUAAAGGGUGCGCAGGCGGACCAUCAAGUCAGCGGUAAAAUCGUGGGGCCCAACCCCAUCCCGCCGUUGAAACUGGCGG